GACGAACGCUGGCGGCGUGCUUAACACAUGCAAGUCGAACGGAAAGGCCCUGCUUUUGUGGGGUGCUCGAGUGGCGAACGGGGGAGUAACACGUGAGUAACCUGCCCUUGACUUUGGGAUAACUUCAGGAAACUGGGGCUAAUACCGGAUAGGAGCUCCUGCUGCAUGGUGGGGGUUGGAAAGUUUCGGCGGUUGGGGAUGGACUCGCGGCUUAUCAGCUUGUUGGUGGGGUAGUGGCUUACCAAGGCUUUGACGGGUAGCCGGCCUGAGAGGGUGACCGGCCACAUUGGGACUGAGAUACGGCCCAGACGGCUACGGGAGGCAGCAGUGGGGAAUAUUGCACAAUGGGCGGAAGCCUGAUGCAGCAACGCCGCGUGCGGGAUGACGGCCUUCGGGUUGUAAACCGCUUUCGCCUGUGACGAAGCGUGAGUGACGGUAAUGAGUAAAGAAGCACCGGCUAACUACGUG
Molecule: ribosomal RNA, 468 nt
Filed under: uncultured bacterium
Lineage: Bacteria
Description: partial 16S ribosomal RNA
Rfam family: Bacterial small subunit ribosomal RNA
Source: RNAcentral